Molecule: ribosomal RNA, 504 nt
Filed under: uncultured bacterium
Lineage: Bacteria
Description: bacterial SSU rRNA
Rfam family: Bacterial small subunit ribosomal RNA
Source: RNAcentral
AUUGAACGCUGGCGGCAUGCUUUACACAUGCAAGUCGAGCGGCAGCGCGGGGGGCAACCCUGGCGGCGAGCGGCGAACGGGUGAGUAAUGCAUCGGAACGUAUCCUGUAGUGGGGAAUAACUCACCGAAAGGUGAGCUAAUACCGCAUAAGCUCUGAGGAGGAAAGCGGGGGGACCGAAAGGCCUCGCGCUGCAGGAGCGGCCGAUGUCCGAUUAGCUAGUUGGUGAGGUAAAGGCUCACCAAGGCGACGAUCGGUAGCUGGUCUGAGAGGAUGAUCAGCCACACUGGGACUGAGACACGGCCCAGACUCCUACGGGAGGCAGCAGUGGGGAAUUUUGGACAAUGGGGGAAACCCUGAUCCAGCCAUGCCGCGUGAGUGAAGAAGGCCUCGGGUUGUAAAGCUCUUUCGGUACGGAACGAAAUUAGCUUGGACGUAAUACUCUGAGUAGAUGACGGUACCGUAAGAAGAAGCACCGGCUAACUACGUGCCAGCAGCCGCGGUAA